RNAcentral lists this ribosomal RNA (427 nucleotides) under uncultured bacterium. RNAcentral describes it as "partial 16S ribosomal RNA". It matches the Rfam family "Bacterial small subunit ribosomal RNA", at positions 355 to 774 of the family's 1533-position model. The record is from RNAcentral.
UAGGGAAUAUUGGACAAUGGGCGAAAGCCUGAUCCAGCCAUGCCGCGUGUGUGAAGAAGGUCUUCGGAUUGUAAAGCACUUUAAGUUGGGAGGAAGGGCAUUAACCUAAUACGUUAGUGUUUUGACGUUACCGACAGAAUAAGCACCGGCUAACUCUGUGCCAGCAGCCGCGGUAAUACAGAGGGUGCAAGCGUUAAUCGGAAUUACUGGGCGUAAAGCGCGCGUAGGUGGUUUGUUAAGUUGGAUGUGAAAGCCCCGGGCUCAACCUGGGAACUGCAUCCAAAACUGGCAAGCUAGAGUACGGUAGAGGGUGGUGGAAUUUCCUGUGUAGCGGUGAAAUGCGUAGAUAUAGGAAGGAACACCAGUGGCGAAGGCGACCACCUGGACUGAUACCGACACUGAGGUGCGAAAGCGUGGGGAGCAAACA